RNAcentral lists this ribosomal RNA (531 nucleotides) under Oeneis buddha. Its description in RNAcentral is "partial 16S rRNA". The record is from RNAcentral. Lineage: Eukaryota; Metazoa; Arthropoda; Insecta; Lepidoptera; Nymphalidae.
CUCAGAUCAUGUAAGAUUUUAAUGAUCGAACAGAUCAAAAUUUUAAACUUUUGCAUUUAAAUUUUAUCUUAAUCCAACAUCGAGGUCGCAAUCUUUUUUUUUUAUUUGAGCUAAAAAAAAAUAUUACGCUGUUAUCCCUAAGGUAAUUUUUUCUUAUAAUCAUUAUUAAUGGAUCAUUUAAUCAUUUAUUCAUGUUUAAUUUUUAAAAAAAGUUAAUUUAAUUUUUCUAUCACCCCAAUAUAAUAAUUAAUUUUAUCUUAAUAAAAACUUUUAUAUAAUUUUAAAAUAAAAAUAAAUAUAAAACUCUAUAGGGUCUUCUCGUCUUUUAAAAUUAAUUUAGCUUUUUAACUAAAAAAUAAAUUUCUAAAAAUAAAUAAGAGACAGUUUAUAUUUCAUCAAAUCUUUCAUACAAGUUUUCAAUUAAAAAACUAUUGAUUAUGCUACCUUUGUACAGUCAUUAUACUGCAGCCCUUUAAUAUUUAUCAGUGGGCAGAUUAGACCUUAAAUUAUAAUCAAAAAGACAUGUUUUUG